GAAUCCAUUUACAUCCGGCCUGGAAGGUUUUCAGAUUAUUCCGAGCACGAUUAGUUUACUGUGUCACGACAAGUCGACUAGUUGGCAUAUGACUAGCGGAAGAAGUUGAAGUGUUAAUUGCUAUUUUUUUCAGUGAAAAAAAAAUAUGUAAUCGCACGACUCAUUAAUUAUGCAGAAAAAAACAAUUAGUCAUGAUAAAAUGCGUACAGAUUGGGCUUGCAACGGAAGUAUUAUCGGAGACACGGUCCCAUAAAAAGUGGAGAAAACCACCAGCAAAAGAAUUUAUUAAAAAUGGAUUUAAUUUAACCAAUCAUCUCGAGAAAAUGAAAAUAAUAAAAUAAAAUACAAUUAAAACUAUUUUAAGGAUGUUUUUCUUAUACAAAUAAAUAGAACACCAAAAGGAA
Molecule: long non-coding RNA, 404 nt
Organism: Hermetia illucens (black soldier fly)
Lineage: Eukaryota; Metazoa; Arthropoda; Insecta; Diptera; Stratiomyidae
Exons: 2
Source: RefSeq, a predicted model, not a curated record